Molecule: ribosomal RNA, 200 nt
Filed under: uncultured bacterium
Lineage: Bacteria
Description: partial 16S ribosomal RNA
Rfam family: Bacterial small subunit ribosomal RNA
Source: RNAcentral
AUUGAACGCUGGCGGCAGGCCUAACACAUGCAAGUCGAGCGCGAAAGUUUUCGGAUGAGUAGAGCGGCGAACGGGUGAGUAACGCGUGGAAAUCUGCCUGGUAAUGGGGGACAACAUCUCGAAAGGGAUGCUAAUACCGCAUACGCCCUAAGGGGGAAAGUGGGGGAUCUUCGGACCUCACGUUAUCAGAGGAGCCCGCG